Molecule: ribosomal RNA, 252 nt
Filed under: uncultured bacterium
Lineage: Bacteria
Description: partial 16S ribosomal RNA
Rfam family: Bacterial small subunit ribosomal RNA
Source: RNAcentral
UACGUAGGGGGCAAGCGUUGUCCGGAAUUAUUGGGCGUAAAGCGCGCGCAGGCGGUCAUUUAAGUCUGGUGUUUAAUCCCGGGGCUCAACCCCGGAUCGCACUGGAAACUGGAUGACUUGAGUGCAGAAGAGGAGAGUGGAAUUCCACGUGUAGCGGUGAAAUGCGUAGAGAUGUGGAGGAACACCAGUGGCGAAGGCGACUCUCUGGGCUGUAACUGACGCUGAGGCGCGAAAGCGUGGGGAGCAAACAGG